This 3525-nucleotide long non-coding RNA is filed under the name Triticum aestivum (bread wheat). Its description in RNAcentral is "long non-coding RNA (TAES_LNC023896)". Lineage: Eukaryota; Viridiplantae; Streptophyta; Magnoliopsida; Poales; Poaceae. The record is from RNAcentral.
AAAAAACCCAGGUUGAAAAGGGCAACAACAUCUAACUCCAGCACUGUUUUCGGCAGUCACAGUCAAAUGGAUCGGUCAGGUCCAUAGAAUGACCAUCUUGGGUCGUAAAAUUUACUGGAUUAUGCCCACAAUAUGUUGUAAAUAGAAGCCCGACACGUUCAGAAGCUCUUUUGCCCACCUGAAACUCCUUUUUUUGCUCUUCCACAUACCCAUCCGUCAAAACCAUGCUGCUAAUAAACUUAAGCCUGAUGGACAAUAGUAACCUCGCAUUCAGCAGGAAGAAUGUGACAAAUCUAGUGUUUGCACGGUUGGCUACAUAUCGUUCUAGCGUUAUUGUCUUCAAUUGAAUCUCAUGAGAAGUGAGAAAAUGCCGAUGCUUACGAAUCCACCGAUUGGUUAUAACUUUCUUACCCUGUCAUGUUGCCUAAAUAGACAUGAAGAUUGAAAACAGUUAAGGUCUAGAAAAAAGAGUGUCGAAAGAGCAACAGCCGAACGGUUAUUCUAGUACACUAUAUGCGGGCUUCCAAUGUGCAUGAAAUUAUCACCUUUAUAUACAACUUCUCCAGACAUGAAAAGCAUUGCAGCAAGCCAAAAAUCUUGUUCAGAUCAAAACUAUUCAUUUGGAUAUAUAAGAUCUUGACCGAAUCCAGCACCAUUGAUAGGCCAUCCAUGGAGAAACUCUUCAUUGAGCAUAGAACAUAAUAUUAGUACAAAAUGUGUACUCCAAGAUGACAUAUAACUUAUGCGCAGAAAUUUAAAAUGCAGCUUAUGGUUACAAGUGUAGAUGAUAAUGUAAAGUACCUGAAGAACUGUGGAGCCAAACACCAUAUUGAAAUGAGCACAGAGAUCAUGUAUUACACCCAAGGUCUCCAGUUUAGGCGCAGAGGGGACGGUUAUUUGCAACGGUGAAUAACUAGAAUUAAGGAUCAACCUUUGAAGUGAAGGGGCAUCUUGGAUGAUGAGCUGCCUUCCGUCAAAACAAAUUCCAAUUCUUACAAGGUUAGGCGACUUUAUUUGGAGACAACCGAUUCUAACUGUGAAAAAAAGCACCAAGCACUCCAGGGCAGGGCAACUGGUGAAAGUGCGUUAUAUCGACUAGAGGGGGGGUGAAUAGGCGAUUUUUAUGAAUUCUUCACUGAGGAAUUUGCAGGUGAGGAAAUUCCUUAGCGAAGAACUACUAGCAGCGGAAUAAGUACUCAAAAGUAAACAUAACAGAACACAAGCAUGGUCAUCAUGAUGAACUGAAGAUGAGCACAGCUGUGGCACCCCGGCUCAGAGGAAACCGGAACGCCCCGUAUUCCAGCCCAGAGAUCGAGGAGAAGUCUUCUGGAAUACGGAACUGCUUAGCAUAGAACAAACCAGCUUUCUAUUAUUACACGAAUAUGAUUACAAGGUCUCCGAUAUUACAAUGAAUAACAUCGGCACGGCGACACUACGCCAUCCUCAAUUGCUCUAUGCAAGAAGUAGAACAACUCGAUGCAGCGGAAUAAUUCUAGCAGCGGAACAACAACGAUAGUGGUGAACUCCACUCCGCAGGGACUCUGGCUGGAACGCUUAUCCUAGCUCGCAAACAAAGAGCAAACAAGCAUGCAAUCCAGGCACGACCUGCAAGCUGACAUGACACGCCAGGUCAGUACAUUGAAUGUACUUGCAAGCUCACAAUUAACCAGAAGCAUCUAUUUCAUAAUAAUUAGAAACAUCCGGCCUUUAAUUAGGUGGGGCAAUUUCCAAUCAACAAACUAAGACCAUUAGAUCUUCGUAACUAGGGUGGACCCAUAACCUACGCUCCAAUCUCAUAGUCAAUCUCCCAAUCCAAAGUAUGUUAGGUCAUCUCUCACGCUAAAAAAAUGACCAUGUAAAAAAAUGUGACAUGUUGAGUCACCUCACGCUAAAAAAUAAAAUGACCAUGUAAAAAAAAUGUGACAACUAAGUCACGAUCAGGUACACAUCGAUAUGGUACACCAUAUUUAAGUGGAAUUCCUUAAAAAAAGACACAGUCAGGUUGGACGAUCCAUGAUACAUUUGCAUCGUCCUAUAACAACCAAAAUUGUCACGAUCCCAGAAAGAAAUCUAAACUAAAAAUAAUAUAUAUUUUUUGCAGGGAAAAAACUUUUUAAUUCAGUUGGCAUAUUUCCAACAACAACAACAACAAAGCCUUUUGGGUUUCAUCUCCAUAAGAGUGGUUGAGUUUUCACGUUGGCUCGCCAAGCCUAUCACAACUCUCCUCCUUUACCUGGGCUUGGGACCGGCUAUGUUGAGACAACAUAGACGAAGUUCAGUUGGCAUAUUUCCAAUAAUUAAAAAACCGAGGGAUACAAUCUCCUUUUUUUAAGCAAUAAGGGAUACAAUCUCAAUAGAAACAAACUCUCACGGUCGUGUAGAGAUACAAGGGCAGUGCUGGGCGCCGGCGCACCGGCCGAACCGUUCGGCCCCUAGCCAUUAGAUGCGCGUCUUAUCAGCCGUUUGAUCAAGCUCCUUUUUUUCUUUGUCCUCCCCGCAUCUCCCACCUCGCGCCGCCGCACGCCAGAUGCGAAAGAACCCUCCGGCCGACGACUGAGCCCCCGCUGACCCCACCCCUCCCCCGCCAUAGACGAGCUCGACGCCGGCCUCGAAGCUCACCGCCACUCCAUUCUCGCUUUCGGGGGGCAGCCCCGGUUCCCAAAAAAAAAUCCAUCGCCACCGUUGAGCAACGCCGCCAUGAAUGGAAGUAGCAAAAAUUGACUUCGGUUCCAGCAAAAUCAAACAUGAUUGUAGCAAUAAAAAAUUGACCGAAGAAAACAGGGAUGUGGCAUCUUGUGAGAAUGAAUGUAGCAAUCAUCAAUACCUGUGGUAACAAAAACUGACAAAAAGGUUGCAUCAAAAGACACAGUCGCGGGUCUCGCAUGUUCAUGGAGAUGGGAUGUAGCAAAAAUUCGACAAACAACAUAGUUGUAGCAAAAUUGUUAGCCGGUUCCAGCAAAAAUACGGUGGGAGCAGAUUUUGGGCGGGGUGGGUGGUAGCAAAAAUAUGAGUCGGUUCCAGCAAAAAUUAUCUUCGGUUCCAACAAAAUCAUAACAUGGUUGUAGCAAAAAACGACUGGAAAAACAGCGAUAUCAUGGAGAUGGAUGUAGCAUAAAUGCACAAAACACCGGUAGUAACAAAAACCAAAACGGUUGUAGCAAAAUGGUUCACCGGUUCCAGCAAAAACUAACGUGGUAGCAGAUUUUGGAUGGGUGGGUGAUAGCAAAUACAUGGGCUGGUUCCUGAAAAAACAAAGCAUGCUUGUAGCAAAUCCUGCGGCGGCGGCCAUGGACAGGAGCGCAACCAGCUGCGGUCGGCCAUGGCGACGAGCGCUGGUUGCCGCAUGGUCGCGCUGAUGGAUGAGCGGCCGCCGUGGGGCUUGGAACAAGAGACGGAGGAUGGGGACGUGGAGGUCGUUGGGCUAGAGGAGGUCACCGGCGUUGCUGGAAUUUGUGGCAACAGUAGUCGUCGGGAUUUGGGGCUCGUGCUCGUUGCGAUUUUGGGGUUGAUUUCUAGAGAUGAGAG